This 484-nucleotide ribosomal RNA is filed under the name uncultured bacterium. Its description in RNAcentral is "bacterial SSU rRNA". It matches the Rfam family "Bacterial small subunit ribosomal RNA", at positions 28 to 534 of the family's 1533-position model. The record is from RNAcentral.
GAUGAACGUUGGCGGUGUGCCUAAUACAUGCAAGUCGAACGGAGUUAAUAGCAAUAUUGACUUAGUGGCGAACGGGUGAGUAACGCGUUGGUGAUCUGCCUUGAAGUGUGGAAUAACGCUCCGAAAGGAGCGCUAAUACCGCAUGUGCUCUCAAUUUUUAGAAACUUGAGAGGAAAGGAUUUAUUCGCUUCGAGAGGAGCCUGCGUCCCAUCAGCUGGUUGGUAGGGUAAAGGCCUACCAAGGCAAUGACGGGUAGGGGACCUGAGAGGGUGGCCCCCCAAAUGGAACUGAAACACGGUCCAUACACCUACGGGUGGCAGCAGUAGGGAAUAUUAGAAAUGGACGAAAGUCUGAUCUAGCAACACCGCGUGUGCGAAGAAGGCCUUGGGUCGUAAAGCACUUUUUGGAAGGAAUAGGAAGGAAUGUACUUCCAGAAUAAGUCUCGGCUAACUACGUGCCAGCAGCCGCGGUAAGCUGUAGUCGU